AUAAAACAGUGAAGUCUUUAACUGCUCCAGAAGAAGAGGAUCCGGAAGGAAAAUGUCUCUGGCAAAGAAGUAUCAGGCACAUGAUACUGCAGAGAUUCAAAAUCAGAAGUAAAUCAACUGGACAGUUGCCUCCUGCCUUCCUAAAUAGGCAAGCAUAUUAGCAACAGAAGAAGGGGCCUACCUACCUCAUUCCUAGAGAAGGUGGGUUUGCUGCUGUGGAUGCCUGCCUCGUUUGCUUCACCAAAAUGAUUUAGGGCAUGCAGGAGAGAAGGGAGACUUUUGUAAGCAGAGCCUAUCAUGAUUUCUCAGGGGACAAAAUUUUGCUUAUUCAUACCUUUUACUGUGGCAAAAAUGGAUUCUUUUCCUCACCAAAACCCAGCAGCAUAACACCCAUCCAACACCUGCCUCAAGGAACUCUUAUUUAAAGUCCAUUGUAAG
This 438-nucleotide long non-coding RNA is filed under the name Zonotrichia albicollis (white-throated sparrow). Its description in RNAcentral is "lncRNA (ENSZALG00000009562.1)". Lineage: Eukaryota; Metazoa; Chordata; Aves; Passeriformes; Passerellidae. The record is from RNAcentral.